CUUGGAGUGGAUAUAACUUUGCGUUUUUUCAACAUUGUUUUCCAUACGAAAGUAGGAGUUUAGUCACCGUAACACGAUAUCUGUGGGUAGCGCCAUAUCUCCACACCCGAACAGAUCAGUGAGAGCAUGGAGCAACAUUUAUAUUAUUCACAUCAGCAGAAUCCUCUAUCCAGUUCAUCUUGGAUUGUUAAUGUUUAUAGGUAUGGAAUGGUAUAGAUGCAUCAUGCCCACCUUGUCUGAGCUGACAGGGAUAAUCUUGGUAGUCUGCUCUCACAGUCAAGAUGUCAUAAUAAUUGAAGAUCCAGACAGUUGGGUGAUGAGGUAUGACACAUGGAGAGGAUGCCAUGAGACAUGAUAAUGCUGACAGGGAUAAUCUUGGUAGUUCGAUCUCACAGUCAAGAUGUCAUAACUAAUUGAAUAUCCAUACAGCUGGGUGAUGAGGCAUGACACAGGGAGAGGUUGCCAUGAGACAUGAUUAUGCUGACAGGGAUAAUCUUGGUAGUCUGCUCUCACAGUCAAGAUGUCAUAACUUAUUCAAUAUCCAGACAGUUGGGUGAUGAGGUAUGACACAGGGAGAGGUUGCCAUGAGACAUGAUUAUGCUGACAGGGAUAAUCUUGGUAGUCUGCUCUCACAGUCAAGAUGUCAUAACUAAUUGAAGAUCCAGACAGUUGGGUGAUGAGGUAUGACACAGGGAGAGGAUGCCAUGAGACAUGAUAAUGCUGAAAGGGGUAAUCUUGGUAGAGCGCGCUCACACUCAAGAUGUCAUAACUAAUUGAAGAUCCAUACAGCUGGGUGAUGAGGUAUGGACACAGGAAGAGGAUGCCAUCAGACAUGAUAAUGAGCCUGAGAUGUACGUCGUGGUUCCCCGAAAUCAAACGCAGAGGGAAUCCCCUCUACAGACACCUCGAAGGCUAUACAAGAGAGCAAUGCAUGUAAAUAUUACGAUCAUCAAGACAUCUUAGCUGUUUAUCUAGCAACCAUGGAAUACAACCAAGUAACUUGUUGUGUUCAACUGAAGAGAAGAGUCGGUGUAGUGGGGAUCAGCAUCGUACUGAGGAGGCACAGGCUGAGGUGGUUUGGUCAUGUGGAGAGAAAGGAGGAGGUCAAGAGGUGUACUGACAGAAUUGUUGGUUGCCCCACACCCUUGGCAGAGCUCCGUCUCAAAUGACAUGCAACUGUUUGGAUUCAAUGCAAGGGACGCA
Long non-coding RNA from Asterias rubens (European starfish), 1203 nucleotides. RefSeq lists it as uncharacterized. The transcript is spliced from 8 exons. The record is from RefSeq and is a predicted model, not a curated record. Lineage: Eukaryota; Metazoa; Echinodermata; Asteroidea; Forcipulatida; Asteriidae.